UCCCUGGUGGUCCAGUGACUAAGAUUCCUUGCUCCAAAUGCAAGGGGCCCAGGUUCCAUUCCUGGUCAGUGAA
Molecule: transfer RNA, 73 nt
Filed under: Bos taurus (domestic cattle)
Lineage: Eukaryota; Metazoa; Chordata; Mammalia; Artiodactyla; Bovidae
Rfam family: tRNA
About the family: Transfer RNA (tRNA) molecules are approximately 80 nucleotides in length.
Source: Rfam by way of RNAcentral